Asterias rubens (European starfish) is the source of this 735-nucleotide long non-coding RNA. RefSeq lists it as uncharacterized. NCBI's taxonomy places the organism in Eukaryota, Metazoa, Echinodermata, Asteroidea, Forcipulatida, Asteriidae. The record is from RefSeq and is a predicted model, not a curated record. The transcript is spliced from 3 exons.
GAUCGUUUGCCAAACUGCGGUACUGCAUGUGAACGUAAACGUAUAAAGAUGCAGUUGCUUCACGUUCAGUUGUUUACAGUUUUAUUAACAUGGCUUGAAGGAUGCUAUGGAGAAACACAAGAUGACAAUCCAGAAACAGGACAAGGCCCUAUUGAUGUUCUUAAAAAUCAAGAUGUUGGUCUGAGUAUUGGAGUGAUGUCAGCUCUGGUCAUCUUUCUAAUUGGAUUAUCAAUCUUCGUUUAUCGCCCAACAAGAAAAAAUCACCAGCAAGUUCCUCCAAUCAAUCAUAACGCUGUGUUAUAGAAAUGCUGGCCAAAAAAAGACUGGAGAAAUAUUCUGUACAUAAUAAUAAUAUGAUAGGAAAAAUUUAGCAGAAAACCCUACAAGAAGUGAAAUGUAGAGUUGGCCUUGUUUGUCUGCAAGAAGUUUUAAUUUUAAAAUAAAUCUUUGCAGUGGAUGGUGAGAAUGUGUUGAUUAUCAAAACAAGUGACCGUGACAUAAAGGAGAUGUUAGACCUCAAGCCUGGUUCAUACUUUCUGCAAAUGCUAAGUAAUGCAAUAAAAAUGUUGACGUCACAGCCCUGUUUUCCCUGCAAGAGUACUUCACAUUUCAUUCGGUGCGAAUUUGUGAUGUCAACUUUGUAUCUGAUUCACACAUAGAGUUAUAUAUAAACUGUAUGGAUUCACAUGAAGUAUGACAGGGCUUCAGAGAAGUUGAAAUUGCUGUUGGCAAACA